This 716-nucleotide long non-coding RNA is filed under the name Pan troglodytes (chimpanzee). Its description in RNAcentral is "long non-coding RNA NONPTRT017965". Lineage: Eukaryota; Metazoa; Chordata; Mammalia; Primates; Hominidae. The record is from RNAcentral.
CAGGGAUGGGACCCGCAGGGCUCCCACCUCCGCUGAGUCGUGCCAGAGCUGGUCGGGCCCCGAGUCAGUAAUCGCAAAAAACAGCUACCAUUUUCUCAGCACUCUUGUGUACUCAGGAAGUGCUGGGCGUUCCCGCCGAAUCCUGAAUCAACAGCCCCAUAUCAGGAUCACUAACCCAUUUUGCAGAAGAGGACGUUGAGGCUCAGAGAAAAUUAACCGGACGUGGUGGCGCCUGUAAUCCCAGCUACUCAGGAGGCCUGAGGCAGAAGAAUCACUUGAGUCCGGGAGUGACUGCAGAGUCUGAGCAGGUUGCAGUGAGCUGAGAUCUGGCGACUGCACCCAGCCUGGGCAACAAGAGCAAAACUCUGUCUCCAAUCAAUCAAUCAAUCACAGAAGUUCUGCCCACACUAGCCAGGAACUGACUCAGUGCCUGGCCUGGGGUUGACUUGCAUUGUCUCCCUGAAACUCUCCAGCAGGCCUUUUAGGAGGUUGUUAUUAUUAGACCCAAGUUACGAAAGGGGAAAUUGAGGCCCAGGUUGGUGUGGCCUGCCCCAGGCUACACAGCCAGGAAGCUAUGAAGCUGGGAUUUAAAGCCAGGUCUCUUUACUCUCAAAGCCUAGGGUCAUUUGCCAUCAUCCCACACUGUCCCCAGUGUCAGGUCAACUGAGGGAGAAGCAUCUGUUGAGCACCCAUGAUCCAGUCCUCAUAUGGAAGGG